This 18-nucleotide transfer RNA is filed under the name Edraianthus graminifolius. Its description in RNAcentral is "partial tRNA-Arg". Lineage: Eukaryota; Viridiplantae; Streptophyta; Magnoliopsida; Asterales; Campanulaceae. RNAcentral also lists the same sequence under 1 other name. The record is from RNAcentral.
AGCGUCCAUUGUCUAAUG